Molecule: ribosomal RNA, 481 nt
Filed under: uncultured bacterium
Lineage: Bacteria
Description: partial 16S ribosomal RNA
Rfam family: Bacterial small subunit ribosomal RNA
Source: RNAcentral
GAUGAACGCUGGCGGCGUGCCUAACACAUGCAAGUCGAACGAAGCACUUUAGUUUAGUUCCUUCGGGACUGGUUAUUUUGUGACUGAUGCGCGGACGUGUGAGUAACGCGUGGGUAACCUGUCUUGUACAGGGGGAUAACAGUUGGAACCGGCUGCUAAUGCCGCAUAAGCGCCCAGCAUCGCAUGAUGCAGUGUGAAAAACUCAGGUGGCAUAAGAUGGACCCGCGUUGGAUUAGCUAGUUGGUGAGGUAACGGCCUACCAAGGCGACGAUCCAUAGCCGGUCUGAGAGGAUGACCAGCCACACUGGGACUGAGACACGGCCCAGACUCCUACGGGAGGCAGCAGUGGGGAAUAUUGCACAAUGGGCGAAAGCCUGAUGCAGCGACGCCGCGUGAGCGAUGAAGGAUUUAGGGAUGUAAAGCUCUAUCAGCAGGGAAGAUAAUGACGGUACCUGAAGAAGAAGCACCGGCUAAAUCCGUG